This is a long non-coding RNA of Patella vulgata (common limpet), 754 nucleotides long. RefSeq lists it as uncharacterized. The record is from RefSeq and is a predicted model, not a curated record. NCBI's taxonomy places the organism in Eukaryota, Metazoa, Mollusca, Gastropoda, Patellidae. The transcript is spliced from 4 exons.
GCUGAAAGUCUUCAAGCCAUGUUGAUAAAUCUAUCAAACAUGUUCUACUACAACUCUAUUGCUGGGAAUGUUUAUUUAAAUAUUGUAAUUUACUGAAUCCAUGGCAAAGAGAUCAAAAGUUUUGUAUAAAUAAUUCACAUGGUAUGUAUCAACAUCUCAACAACAUAUGAGUGACAAUCAACACUUCACAGAAACUGGGUGUUCUCAAAAUAAAAUCCUUGAUACUGUUACACAAACCAAAUGGAAAAUUUAUACAUUUGAAAUCGAGUUACAUUUGCGACUUUCCUAAACAUUUGAAUAAAAACUUCCGAGUCUUUGAAGAAAGUGGGAUGAUUUAUUUAUGGUGGCGUUUGAAGUUUAUCUACUGUUGAAAUCGUUGUUUAGUUGUGGAUGAACUAUCUGAGACAGUGAUUUUCUCACCAGUUGCUCUUUUGUUUCACAGCUUGUUUUCAAUUUUCUUCCAUUAUACAAGAGUUCUGAGAUGAGAUGAAACGAUAAUUUCAAGACAUCUUCAUUUAUUGAUGUGAUUGAAUGAUAAGAUAGCAGUGUGAAACCAAAUACUCAAUAGUGGGCUGCCAUAUAGUACAAGUCUUUUUACUUGUGGUGCCAGCUUUAUUAUUAAAAACAAUAAACUUGUCAUUUUUUUGUGUUUUAUCAUUGAUCUAAAAAAACAUUAUUCUCAAAAAUAUUUCAUUAUGACAAUCCAGAGAAGACAAAACUUCAUAACUUAUUACAAAUAAAACCUUUUUAACCA